This 71-nucleotide transfer RNA is filed under the name Moricella rufonota. Its description in RNAcentral is "tRNA-Met". The record is from RNAcentral. Lineage: Eukaryota; Metazoa; Arthropoda; Insecta; Hymenoptera; Tenthredinidae.
AAAAAGAUAAGCUAAAUAAAGCUAAUGGGUUCAUACCCCGUAAAUAAAAAUUUUAAUUUUUUUCUUUUUAU